AUGGAGGUUCCCAGGCUAGGGGUCUAAUUGGAGCUGUAGCUGCUGGCCUACGCCAGAGCCACAGCAAUACAGGAUCCAAGCUGUGUCUGCAACCCACACCACAGCUCACGGCAAUGCCGGAUCCUCAACCCACUGAGCAAGGCCAGGGAUGGAACCUGCAACCUCUUGGUUCCUAGUCGCAUUUGAUAACCACUGAGCCACAACGGGAACUCCCCCAACUGAUUUUCAAUGAAGAUGCAAAAGCAAUUCAGUGGUGCUUUCCCAGUAAAUAGUGCUGGGGCAUUUGGACAUCCGCAGGCCCCAAACCAGAAAACAAACCACACACAAAAAACAAACCUUGCACAAAAAUUAACUCAAAAUGCAUUAUAGACUUAAAUGCUAAAUGUAAAAUCCAUAGGGAAUUCCCUUCGUGGCGCAGCAGAAAUGAAUUUGACUAGUACCUGGGAGGAUGCGGGUUCAAUCUCUGGUCUCACUCAGUGGGUGGGGGAAUCCCACGUUGCUGUGGCUGUGAUGGAGGCUGGCAGCUGUAGCUCUGAUUCGACCCCUAGCGUAGGAAUCUCUAUUUGUCCAAGGUGUGGCUCUAAAAAUAAUAAUAAUAAUAAAGACAAAAGUAAAAACCAUAAAACAUUUUUAUAAAGCAUAGGAGUAAAAUCCUCAAACUCUAGGGCAAGAGAGAGUUCUUGGACUUGACAUCACAGCAUGAUUCAUAAAAGGAAAAAAUGAUAUCUUGACCAUCAAAAAUUUGACUUUUAAAACAUAGCUUUGUGCCGUUCCCGUAAUGGCUCACCGGGAGCGAAUCUGACUGGCAUCCAUGAGGACACAGGUUCGAUCCCUGGCCUCGCUCAGUGGAUUAAGGAUCUGGCAUUACCAUGAGCUAUGGUGUAGGUUGCAGACGCAGCUCGGAUCCUGUGUUGCUCCCGUGUCCUCACGGAUACUAGUCGGGUUCGUUACUGCUGAGCCACAACGGGAACUCCAGACUGGAGCUUACACCAUCAGCUCUCCCGGGUCUGGACUCCUCAACCUCCAUAAUUGCAGGAGCCAAUUCCAUGUAAUAAAUCUCUUUAUGGGAGUUCCCAUUGUGGUGCAGUGGAAAUGAAUCCUUUGGCGCAAUGAAAGGACAAAAACUGCUGCUGUGUCCUCUCCACACCAGAAGUCCCCCUGUCAGGAGGGAGUAAAGCAGUUUGUUUUGGUCAGAUUCUCCCAGAAGCUUAAUCUGGGCCAGGGAUUAAAGUGCAAGUGGUUUAUUAAGGAAAUGUUCCCAGGAAAAAGCAGUAAAGGGGCGAGGUAGGCAGGGUAGCAGGGGUGUGAGCAGCUCUGGAGUAUAAAUAGCAUCUUAGAGUUUGUCCUGCUUCAGGCCAAGGAGCUGGGUUUUUGUCCAUCUCACCAGUCAUUGGCUAGGCCCCCUGGGGGGUGGGGGCAUGGUGACAUGCAAGGGCAUGGUCCCACGGGGAAAGUGGCUCCAGUGUCAAGGACAAGCCCCUGAAGAUUGCAGGUGGAAGCUAUUUGCAGGAAACAGACAAU
Molecule: long non-coding RNA, 1521 nt
Filed under: Sus scrofa (pig)
Lineage: Eukaryota; Metazoa; Chordata; Mammalia; Artiodactyla; Suidae
Description: lncRNA (ENSSSCG00045035359.1)
Source: RNAcentral